Molecule: ribosomal RNA, 253 nt
Filed under: uncultured bacterium
Lineage: Bacteria
Description: partial 16S ribosomal RNA
Rfam family: Bacterial small subunit ribosomal RNA
Source: RNAcentral
UACGAAGGGGGUUAGCGUUGUUCGGAAUCACUGGGCGUAAAGGGCGCGUAGGCGGCUUUAUAAGUCGGGGGUGAAAGCCUGUGGCUCAACCACAGAAUUGCCUUCGAUACUGUAGAGCUUGAGACCGGAAGAGGUAAGUGGAACUGCGAGUGUAGAGGUGAAAUUCGUAGAUAUUCGCAAGAACACCAGUGGCGAAGGCGGCUUACUGGUCCGGUUCUGACGCUGAGGCGCGAAAGCGUGGGGAGCAAACGGG